This 403-nucleotide ribosomal RNA is filed under the name Verrucomicrobiota bacterium. Its description in RNAcentral is "Verrucomicrobia bacterium partial 16S ribosomal RNA". It matches the Rfam family "Bacterial small subunit ribosomal RNA", at positions 355 to 776 of the family's 1533-position model. Lineage: Bacteria; Pseudomonadati; Verrucomicrobiota. The record is from RNAcentral.
UGGGGAAUAUUGCACAAUGGAGGGAACUCUGAUGCAGCGACGCCGCGUGAACGAAGAAGGCUUUCGAGUCGUAAAGUUCUUUUAUAUGGGAAGAUAAUGACGGUACCAUAAGAAAAAGCCCCGGCUAACUACGUGCCAGCAGCCGCGGUAAUACGUAGGGGGCUAGCGUUGUCCGGAAUCACCGGGCGUAAAGGGUUCGCAGGCGGAAAUGCAAGUCAGGUGUAAAAGGCAGUAGCUUAACUACUGUAAGCAUUUGAAACUGCAUAUCUUGAGAAGAGUAGAGGUAAGUGGAAUUUUUAGUGUAGCGAUGAAAUGCGUAGAUAUUAAAAAGAAUACCGGUGGCGAAGGCGACUUACUGGGCUCAUUCUGACGCUGAGGAACGAAAGCGUGGGUAGCAAACAGG